UGNGAUGUAGUGGAGCUGGUGUCAGAAG
RNAcentral lists this non-coding RNA (28 nucleotides) under Mus musculus (house mouse). Lineage: Eukaryota; Metazoa; Chordata; Mammalia; Rodentia; Muridae. The record is from RNAcentral.